RNAcentral lists this ribosomal RNA (247 nucleotides) under uncultured bacterium. RNAcentral's name for it is "partial 16S ribosomal RNA". It matches the Rfam family "Bacterial small subunit ribosomal RNA", at positions 523 to 769 of the family's 1533-position model. The record is from RNAcentral.
AUACGUAGGUGGCAAGCGUUGUCCGGAUUUACUGGGUGUAAAGGGCGUGUAGGCGGGAUUGCAGGUCAGAUGUGAAAUACCCGGGCUUAACCCGGGAGCUGCAUUUGAAACCGCAGUUCUUGAGUGCUGGAGAGGGAAGCGGAAUUCCUAGUGUAGCGGUGAAAUGCGUAGAUAUUAGGAGGAACACCAGUGGCGAAGGCGGCUUUCUGGACAGUAACUGACGCUGAGGCGCGAAAGCGUGGGGAGC